GAGGAAUAUUGGUCAAUGGGCGCAAGCCUGAACCAGCCAUCCCGCGUGCAGGAAGACGGCCCUAUGGGUUGUAAACUGCUUUUCCAGGGAGAGAAACCCGCGCACGUGUUGCGCAAUUGACGGUACCCUGGGAAUAAGCAUCGGCUAACUCCGUGCCAGCAGCCGCGGUAAUACGGAGGAUGCAAGCGUUAUCCGGAUUCAUUGGGUUUAAGGGGUGCGUAGGCGGACUAUUAAGUCAGUGGUGAAAGCCUGCAGCUUAACUGCAGAACUGCCAUUGAUACUGAUAGUCUUGAGUUUGGUUAAGGUAGGCGGAAUGUGUAAUGUAGCGGUGAAAUGCUUAGAUAUUACACAGAACACCAAUUGCGUAGGCAGCUUACUGAGCCGACACUGACGCUGAGGCACGAAAGCGUGGGGAUCGAACAG
RNAcentral lists this ribosomal RNA (423 nucleotides) under uncultured bacterium. RNAcentral describes it as "bacterial SSU rRNA". It matches the Rfam family "Bacterial small subunit ribosomal RNA", at positions 356 to 775 of the family's 1533-position model. The record is from RNAcentral.